UACAGAGGUCUCAAGCGUUGUUCGGAAUUACUGGGCGUAAAGGGUGCGCAGGCCGCGCGGGCAGUCAAUUGUGUAAUUCAGGGGCUCAACCUCUGGACUGCGCUUGAUACUUCCGUGCUAGAGCUUUGGAGAGGAGUCUGGAAUUCUCGGUGUAGCAGUGAAAUGCGUGGAUAUCGAGAAGAACACUUAGGGCGAAGGCAAGACUCUGGACAAAUGCUGACGCUCAUGCACGAAAGCGUGGGGAGCAAACAGG
This 253-nucleotide ribosomal RNA is filed under the name uncultured bacterium. Its description in RNAcentral is "partial 16S ribosomal RNA". It matches the Rfam family "Bacterial small subunit ribosomal RNA", at positions 524 to 776 of the family's 1533-position model. The record is from RNAcentral.